This is a non-coding RNA of Peromyscus maniculatus bairdii (prairie deer mouse), 1528 nucleotides long. NCBI's taxonomy places the organism in Eukaryota, Metazoa, Chordata, Mammalia, Rodentia, Cricetidae. The record is from RefSeq and is a predicted model, not a curated record.
AGGAAGGAAAAGGAAGUGCGCACGCGUGAGUCGGGUGGUGCUCGCCUGCCGGCAACCCAUCAUCUACUACUAAAGGGCUGGGAGCGGGCAGGCGAGCUGGGUGGAGGCAGCAGGCAGCAUGCGGGCCUCCGGAUCGAAGUUGACCCCAACCUCUCGGGGUUUUCCCUUCCCGUGAGCCCCCGGAGGCUAGCGCGGUGAUUCUUUGGCGAAAACAUUUCGGAAUUCCGUGGUCUGUGCCAGGCCUAUGCUCUAUUUUGUCCUCAACCCAGUAGCAAAAUAGUUAUGUAAACAGAUUUCGACACAGUGCGAUGGCUGCAACAAAAAGAAGCAUUAUGAGGUUAGAUGUGAAAAGGUAGCAUUAACGACGGCGGAGGUUGCAGUUUCCUGUCUGCGGUAGGCACUGGUGAAGUGGAAGUUUGCGAAACUAAGUGGCUUGUGCUCCGGUGCAUUUCUGGUAGAGAGAAGGCUUAUGGUCCUCACCUGGCUGAGUGCAAUCGAACAGAUGUUUUCUUUCAUUGUGGCUCACAGAAACUGCUAAGACUAUGAUGGUGUAAUGGUAAUUAAGAGACCUGCACUCUACUCCCAGCUGUGACCUUUAUCUGCAUAAUGAAGAAUUAAUUUGGAAGCUGCAGUUUCCUUCUCAUUUUAAAGCUGGAUGCCUUUAGGCCCAGGUUCUGUAUUCCUUUUUAUAACAGUAUUUUGUAGACUACAUUGCUGUACAAGGAAGUUUUGUAUAUAUGUACAACCAUGGUCAUCCAAGAAUGCCAGCACACUGCAGUGCUGUUUGAGUUUGCUCUUGGUUCCCAGCUCUGUCUUCACCUUGUCUCUGUAUUGGUUUGACCUCAUCUACAACCCACUCUGAUCUUACAGCAUGUCCUAAGGUCAGAAUCAAAAAGAAUGAGAAAACACUGACUACUUACAAAAGAAAAAGGAAGAAUGCUCAAAAUUCCAUUGUUUCUGAUGGCUGAUAAAAUGUCAUCAAAGAAAAGUACUUCCAUAAAAGUUUUAUUUAUCCCCACAACAACCCUGUGAGGUAGGGUGAUCAGGGCAUUUGAAGAUGAGAAAACUAAAUCUACAUUACUUGUUCACGGCUAUACUGCAUAGUAAAUAAGUAGAAAUUAAAUUGAGAUUUUUAAAUGUCCACGACUUCAUAUUGAUUCAUGUGGAAAUAAGUAGAGAGAAUAUUAACUCCUCUCUACCUUAAUACCAAAAGGACACUACCUUGAAAAAUCCCAUUUCAAAAGAUGAAAGUAGCAUUUCAUUGCUCAUUUCUACAAAGAUUUAUAAAAUAAAAAAAUAGUGAAAUAUUUUAGUUAAUAUAUAUAAUGGUCUCAUUCAGGGACAUGUCCUUCAGCUAUGUAAAUGAUCAGCUAUUCAGAGUUCUAUAAACACAAAUUCUUUAAAAAGUAUGAAUGACAAAAAUGAUAAUGAGCAGUAGCCUCAAUCUUCAUUAUUCCUCCUCAUAUCUUGAAUAAGUUCUGUGAAAUAUGGUCCCAGCUUUAAAAAAAAAAAAAAAGAAAGAAAGAAA